This 1353-nucleotide ribosomal RNA is filed under the name Triticum aestivum (bread wheat). Its description in RNAcentral is "partial small subunit ribosomal RNA". Lineage: Eukaryota; Viridiplantae; Streptophyta; Magnoliopsida; Poales; Poaceae. The record is from RNAcentral.
AUGGCCAAGGCGCUGCUCUCCUCCUCGCUGCUCCCCUCGCUCCCGCGCGCCGUCGCGGGCGCCGGCGCCGCGAGGCUGCCGCCGCUCCCCUCGCUGCGCCGCCGCGCCGCGGGGUGCCGGGUCAGGGCCAGCCUCCACGGGCUCGACUCCGUGGGAGGCCUCCACGCGGCGCUCGAGCGCGCCGAGGCCGCGCUCUACACGCUCGCCGACGCCGCGGUCGUCGCCGCCGACUCGGCGGCCGGGGCGGCCGGAGGAGGAGAGGACGCGGGCGCGGCCGUGCAGAAGAGCGGCGGCUGGUUCGGGUUCAUCUCCGACGCCAUGGAGGUCGUGCUCAAGAUUCUGAAGGAUGGUCUCUCAGCAGUUCAUGUGCCCUACGCUUAUGGGUUUGCCAUCAUUCUGCUCACCAUUGUCGUGAAGGCUGCAACAUUGCCGUUAACGAAGCAGCAGGUCGAAUCAACCAUGGCGAUGCAGAAUUUGCAGCCACAGCUCAAGGCAAUUCAGGCGAGAUACGCAGGCAAUCAGGAAAGAAUACAGCUUGAGACUGCUCGUUUGUACAAGCAAGCUGGAGUCAAUCCUCUAGCAGGAUGUUUGCCAACUUUGGCAACAAUCCCAGUCUGGAUUGGACUUUACCAAGCCCUUUCAAAUGUAGCAAAUGAGGGUUUGUUGACAGAAGGAUUUUUCUGGAUUCCAUCUUUGGGAGGCCCUACAACUAUUGCUGCUCGUCAAAGUGGUGCUGGCAUUUCAUGGCUCUUUCCUUUUGUGGAUGGUCAUCCACCAAUAGGCUGGCAUGAUACGAUAUGUUAUCUUGUGUUGCCCGUGCUACUCGUUGCUUCUCAGUUUGUCUCCAUGGAGAUCAUGAAACCACCCCAGAGUACUGAUCCAUCGCAGAAGAAUACACAACUUAUUUUGAAAUUUCUUCCAUUUAUGAUUGGUUACUUCUCUUUGUCGGUGCCAUCAGGAUUGUCCAUUUAUUGGUUUACAAACAAUGUCCUCAGUACAGCCCAGCAGAUAUGGUUGCGGAAACUGGGAGGAGCAAAGCCUGCUGUGAAUGAGGGAGCAAGUGGAAUUAUAACUGCAGGACGAGCAAAACGUUCAGGUGCUCAAUCAGGCCAGGGUGGAGAAAGGUUUAAGCAGCUAAAAGAAGAGGAGAACAGGAGAAAAGCUGUGAAAGCACUUGGUGCAGGAGAUUCAAAUGGUUCAACUACAUCAGAGGAUGAAGAGUCGGACGACGAUACCACAGAGGAGCAGGGAGGACCUGUAGAGGAAACAUUCGCUACCGGCAACGACAAGAAACUGCCUACUUACUCUGGAAAGAAGGGGAAAAGGUCAAAGAGGAAGCGCAUAGCGCAGUAA